CGUGUAGGCGGUGCGGUAAGUUGGGCGUGAAAUCCCCGGGCUUAACCCGGGUGGGCCGUUCAAGACUGCCGUGCUAGGGUGCGGGAGAGGGAAGUGGAAUUUCCGGUGUAGCGGUGAAAUGCGUAGAUAUCGGGAGGAACACCUGCGGCGAAGGCGGCUUCCUGGACCGUAACCGACGCUGAGGCGCGAAAGCUAGGGGAGCAAACAGGAUUAGAUACCCUGGUAGUCCUAGCCCUAAACGAUGAGCACUGGGUGUGGCCCCUCACGGGGCUGUGCCGAAGCUAACGCAUUAAGUGCUCCGCCUGGGGAGUACGGUCGCAAGGCUGAA
RNAcentral lists this ribosomal RNA (328 nucleotides) under uncultured bacterium. RNAcentral describes it as "bacterial SSU rRNA". It matches the Rfam family "Bacterial small subunit ribosomal RNA", at positions 568 to 898 of the family's 1533-position model. The record is from RNAcentral.